GAGCUGAUACCCACUUAUUUGUGAAGUGGAGACGGCAAGGAUGAUCUUCAGGGGCCCUGGUGACAGCCAGGUCAGAGCAAAGACCUAGGUGUUUAAUCUACCAUACCCAUGGUUUCUCCUUCAGCCUUUACUCCUAAAAGGUUGGGUUAAAAGCUAUGAGACUGUCUGGUUCCAGCCAAUGACUUCUUCAAGAAGCUAAGCCAGGUAAGUCAGAGAUGGACGCUGUUGGCAGAAGCCAGGAGCGAAUACUGCUUACUUCCACUGUGGGAUUCAGAGUCUGUUUAAUCUGUCUCCAGACAGAACUGAGAAGCACAGAUCCUUGAAAAAAGAGUUGUGUAAGGAAGAGCUGUGGGGAAUUCAGAAAACUGGGAUAGCCCUGGAGAAGAGAAAGGCUCGACUGGGUUUUGCAGUGGGACUAGCCUCUUUCUGAGACUUGCGGUGUUCACUGGUCUGCGUUGCUUUGGUUAGUACUCAACUCUGGGUAAGCCCGACAGAGAGCAGGAGUGUGCUUUAUAUAUGUAAGACAGUCUUCAUAGAGGAUGCAGGGCCAGUGGCAUCUCCCUGGCAGACAUCUCCCUGAGUUAAGCCAAGAGGAGUGCCAGCAAGGGCCACCCGGGGAGGCCAGGGAACCCUUCAAGAAUCAGGUAAGAAAUCUGCCUGCCUUUGCCUUCUGAGUGCUGGGAUCAAAGGUAUACACCACCAUGCCUGGCCUUUUGUUUUAUUUUUUUCUGUCUAUGUAUGUAUCUAUGUAUCAAUGUAUCCAUCAAUGUAUCUAUCUAUCUAUGUAUCUAUCUACAUAUCUAUCUAUGUAUCUAUCAAUGUAUCUAUCUAUCUAUCUAUCUAUCUAUCUAUCUAUCUAUCUAUCUAUCUAUGUUUUAUCUAUGUAUCUAUCAAUGUAUAUAUAUUUAUAUCAUGUAUGUAUGUAUGUUGGGCAUCCUCUGUAGUUAACAUUAACGAAUGUUCUGCAACCCAGGAGUUCUUUGUCUUAUUCACACUGGGAGAUGGGGAGGGGUGCGUGCAUGAGGAUGCUCAGGGUAGGCUGUUAGUUGGUGCUGGAGGGUGCCCGGGUAUCUGUUAGAGACCGUGUGUAAAUGUGAGGUGCCCACCAGGGACUAAGUAUACUCUUAGCCAUAUGAAUAAAUCUUAAAAAUAAGAGGGGGAAAAGUAAGAACCAUGCACAUCCUGGCUUAGUUUCUUUUCCUGUUGAUAUGAUAAAAUACUCUGACAAAAACAAAUAAAGGAAAAAGUUUAUUUUAGCUUUUUGUUCAAGGCGCACACAGUAAAGAAGCUGAGCGUGAUGAAUGUGAACUGCUUCUCUGCUCGUUUCCCUACAUUAUACACGUCAUAAUCCUCUGCCUAGGGGAUGACUCUGCCCACAGUUGAGAUAGGUCUGCCUGCUACAGUUAACUUAAUCAAGAGUCUGGAAUCCCAGGUGGUUCUAGAUUUUGUCCAGUGUGAACACACACCAUCAAAAUACUAAGAAUGAGGAACAGGUAUAGUAGCCCAUGAUUUUAGUCCAGCAGCACCAAGGGGGGUGAGGCACAGGCCAAGGCAGGUCAGUCUCUGAGUUUAUGUUUAGCCUGGUCUGAAUAGUGAGUUCCAGGCUAGCCAGGGAUACAUAGUGAAACCCUGUCUUUACAAACAAAGUAGUAAGAAUUUUUAAAAAUGCAUUCACUUGGUUUAUAGGAACAUAUAUGUGGUUGUUGUGGGUGGAGGUGAGGAACUGGGAUAAAAUAAUGAUGAAUGAAUUGGGGUAGUAAACUCAGUCCUCUCCCGGGUGGGAGGGGAGGACCAGCCGGUAGCCAAAUUUCUGUGCACUUUGCGCCCUCUGUUGGACAUGAGGGCUACCAGCAAGUGGGUCCUGGAACUGAAGUAAGACCUCGACACCCUGAACACCUAUAGUGGCUGUGUGUCUAUCCCCAAUCCCAACCCCAUCCCCCAACCCCGUCCUGUUUUCCAGUAGAGAUGUAAAGUGAGAGCCAGAAAGCCAGAAUUGGCUGCGGGGGUCGGCUGGGAACAGGGCAGUCUGAGGGAAACAAAACAUCUGGCAGGAUCUUCGAAGGAGAAAGGGAGAAAAAGGAGGGAGAAGGCACUGGAGUGUAACCCUGGAUGUAACCCGGACCAGAGGAGACCAAGGAUUCGGAUACCAGACCACCAGGGACCAAAGUGGAGUAUGGGCCUUGUAGGCACUGAAGAGGAGUGGUUAUGGGUGUAUGGGUGCCGUGGUCACCAUCAGGAAGUCAUAGGCUGCUGUGCUUCCUGACAAAGGCUGGCUAGGAAUGGUCUCAGGUGAGUCUGGGAGGAAGUGGGUGGGAUGCAGAACGGUGUGUCCGAUGUUGGCCACCCCCUCAUAGGGCAUGUGUAUAUUUCUUACUUAUGGCCUGCCAGUCACUGGGUGGACAGCACAGUGUGAUCUAAUGGGAGAGACUCAUCACAGAAAAUGGCAUGCAGGGUCUUGGGUACUUUAGUGACUGAUGUGGGGGGGGGGGCCCAACCCAUUGUGGAUGAUGCCAUCCCUGGGUUGGUGGUCCUGGCUUCUAUAAGAAAGCAGGCUGAGGAAUCCUUGAGGAGCAAGCCAGUAAGCAGCACCCUCUAAGACCUCUGCUUCAGUUCCUGCCUCCUGGAUCCUGCCCUGCUUGAGUUCCUGUCCUGACUUCCUUCAGUGAUGGACUGUGGGGUGGAAGUGUGAACCAAAUAAACGCUUUUGUCUUCAA
This is a long non-coding RNA of Rattus norvegicus (Norway rat), 2714 nucleotides long. RefSeq lists it as uncharacterized. NCBI's taxonomy places the organism in Eukaryota, Metazoa, Chordata, Mammalia, Rodentia, Muridae. The record is from RefSeq and is a predicted model, not a curated record.